GCCGAAGUGGUGGAAUUUGGUAGACACGCUAUCUUGAGGGGGUAGUGGGGUAACCCGUGCCGGUUCAAUUCCGGCCUUCGGCACCA
RNAcentral lists this transfer RNA (86 nucleotides) under bacterium. RNAcentral describes it as "tRNA-Leu". It matches the Rfam family "tRNA". From Rfam's summary of the family: Transfer RNA (tRNA) molecules are approximately 80 nucleotides in length. Their secondary structure includes four short double-helical elements and three loops (D, anti-codon, and T loops). Further hydrogen bonds mediate the characteristic L-shaped molecular structure. tRNAs have two regions of fundamental functional importance: the anti-codon, which is responsible for specific mRNA codon recognition, and the 3' end, to which the tRNAs corresponding amino acid is attached (by aminoacyl-tRNA synthetases). tRNAs cope with the degeneracy of the genetic code in two manners: having more than one tRNA (with a specific anti-codon) for a particular amino acid; and 'wobble' base-pairing, i.e. permitting non-standard base-pairing at the 3rd anti-codon position. The record is from RNAcentral.